UGUUGAUUGCUGAUCUAAGGAGGCUGAUCCAAGCCAGCAGGGUUUUGCCCACUUGAAGUUGUGUAAUUUGGUUUGGUAUGUCUAUAUUGUUUUUCUUUUCUGUGUUAUUAUGUUUUCACCACCAGAACAUCAGUUACCUGCAUGAGCUGCUCCACUACACUGAGCCAGAACACCCUGGACCUUGAUUCAGGAUGUGGAAAUUGCUGACAUAGAAUGGAAGUGGGAAUUCAUUUCAACUCAUGUCAGUGGAAUGGAAGGAGAAUAAGUGCUCCGUUACUGGAAAAAAGCAACUGUAAACUGGUGGCCAACAUUGUGGAUACACUG
Molecule: long non-coding RNA, 324 nt
Organism: Esox lucius (northern pike)
Lineage: Eukaryota; Metazoa; Chordata; Actinopteri; Esociformes; Esocidae
Exons: 3
Source: RefSeq, a predicted model, not a curated record